RNAcentral lists this ribosomal RNA (608 nucleotides) under uncultured bacterium. Its description in RNAcentral is "bacterial SSU rRNA". It matches the Rfam family "Bacterial small subunit ribosomal RNA", at positions 37 to 677 of the family's 1533-position model. The record is from RNAcentral.
UGGCGGCGUGCCUAACACAUGCAAGUCGCACGAGAAAGUGGAGCAAUCCAUGAGUAAAGUGGCGCACGGGUGAGUAACACGUGAAUCAUCUACCUCCGAGUGGGGAAUAACCUAGAGAAAUCUGGGCUAAUACCGCAUAACACUUACGAGUCAAAGCAGCAAUGCGCUUGGAGAGGAGUUCGCGGCCGAUUAGCUAGUUGGCGGGGUAAUGGCCCACCAAGGCGAUGAUCGGUAUCCGGCCUGAGAGGGCGCACGGACACACUGGAACUGAAACACGGUCCAGACUCCUACGGGAGGCAGCAGUGGGGAAUUUUGCGCAAUGGGGGAAACCCUGACGCAGCAACGCCGCGUGGAGGAUGACAUAUCUUGGUAUGUAAACUCCUUUCGAUAGGGAAGAUUAUGACGGUACCUAUAGAAGAAGCCCCGGCUAACUUCGUGCCAGCAGCCGCGGUAAUACGAGGGGGGCAAGCGUUGUUCGGAUUUAUUGGGCGUAAAGGGUGCGUANGCGGUUUGAUAAGUCUGGUGUGAAAUCUUUGGGCUCAACCCAAAGUCUGCACUAGAAACUGUCGGGCUUGAGUAUUGGGGAGGUGAGUGGAAUUUCCGGUGUA